This 489-nucleotide ribosomal RNA is filed under the name uncultured bacterium. Its description in RNAcentral is "partial 16S ribosomal RNA". It matches the Rfam family "Bacterial small subunit ribosomal RNA", at positions 28 to 507 of the family's 1533-position model. The record is from RNAcentral.
GAUGAACGCUAGCGGCAGGCUUAAUACAUGCAAGUCGAGGGGCAGCAGGACUGUAGCAAUCCAGUUGCUGGCGCCCGGCACACGGGUGCGGAACACGUACGCAACCUACCCAAAACUGGGGGAUAGCCCGCGGAAACCCGGAUUCAUACCCCGUAACCUUUUUCAGUUGCAUCACUUGAUAAGUAUAACUCCGGCGGUUUUGGAUGGGCGUGCGCCUGAUUAGUUAGUUGGUGCGGGUAACGGCCCACCAAGCCUGCGAUCAGUAACUGGUGUGAGAGCACGACCAGUCACACGGGCACUGAGACACGGGCCCGACUCCUACGGGAGGCAGCAGUAAGGAAUAUUGGUCAAUGGACGCAAGUCUGAACCAGCCAUGCCGCGUGAAGGAUGAAGGGCCUCGGGAUUGUAAACUUCUUUUAUGGGGGACGAAACCCGGAUAUUCUUAUCCGAUUGACGGUACCUCAGGAAUAAGCACCGGCUAACUCCGUG